This 25-nucleotide non-coding RNA is filed under the name Bombyx mori (domestic silkworm). The record is from RNAcentral. Lineage: Eukaryota; Metazoa; Arthropoda; Insecta; Lepidoptera; Bombycidae. RNAcentral also lists the same sequence under 4 other names.
UGUCCCUAUCUACUAUCUAGCGAAA